UCCCGUGGGCGCCACCCCCGCCUCUCCUGCUGGGCGGGCCCCGGGGAGCCACAGGCAGACCACCGAGGCCUUCCCUCGGCCGCCCUGCCGUAGGACCCCCUCAAACUGCCUUGGGCUUUUCUGCCCUUGGGGUCGCUGAAACUGCUAGCCAAAGGUCCCUGCAGGAGGGUCCCACAGCCAGAAGAGUGUGCCCCACAGCGGCGGGGCCUGCGAAGGGCCCCCUGCGGGGUAGUGUGAGAGCUCUCGGCCUGGAAGCCCCGUCAUUGCUCCUGCUACCCGUAGGCACACACCAGCCCGGGUUGCUCCAAGCCGGGCGUGGCUUCCUCCCUGCCCUUUAUAAUCACCACUCAUUGUUGGAAGAUGAGGACAUUGGGAACCCAGUUAAGUGACUUGACUGUGGGGUAUGCUGUGACUCCUGUGCUAUGUAUAAAUUCUGUCCGUUUGAAGUCCCGAUCUUCAAGAGCCCCAUGUUGGAUUCAACUGGGAGAAAUAACAAGUGUGGUAGAGAGGCCGUGAGUGGAUGAAUCGACAUUUCCUGCAGACCUGUCGCUUCGAUGAUUUCAGUUUACAACCACAACAGUGCAGGAGAGUGAAGUUGCUGUGCCCAUUUCACAGACGAGGCCGCUGAGGAU
Molecule: long non-coding RNA, 632 nt
Organism: Acinonyx jubatus (cheetah)
Lineage: Eukaryota; Metazoa; Chordata; Mammalia; Carnivora; Felidae
Exons: 3
Source: RefSeq, a predicted model, not a curated record